AGAGCUCUCGGCAUAGGAUGAGACUAUAUUGUAUCAGCUAGUUGGUGAGGUAAUGGCUCACCAAGGCUAUGACGCAUAACUGGUCUGAGAGGAUGAUCAGUCACACUGGAACUGAGACACGGUCCAGACUCCUACGGGAGGCAGCAGUAGGGAAUAUUGCUCAAUGGGGGAAACCCUGAAGCAGCAACGCCGCGUGGAGGAUGACACUUUUCGGAGCGUAAACUCCUUUUGUUGGGGAAGAACCAUGACGGUACCCAACGAAUAAGCACCGGCUAACUCCGUGCCAGCAGCCGCGGUAAUACGGAGGGUGCAAGCGUUACUCGGAAUCACUGGGCGUAAAGGACGCGUAGGCGGAUUAUCAAGUCUUUUGUGAAAUCUAAUGGCUUAACCAUUAAACUGCUUGAGAAACUGAUAAUCUAGAGUGAGGGAGAGGCAGAUGGAAUUGGUGGUGUAGGGGUAAAAUCCGUAGAGAUCACCAGGAAUACCCAUUGCGAAGGCGAUCUGCUGGAACUUAACUGACGCUAAUGCGUGAAAGCGUGGGGAGCAAACAGGAUUAGAUACCCUGGUAGUCCACGCCCUAAACGAUGUAUACUAGUUGUUGCUGUGCUAGUCAUGGCAGUAAUGCACCUAACGGAUUAAGUAUACCGCCUGGGGAGUACGGUCGCAAGAUUAAAACUCAAAGGAAUAGACGGGGACCCGCACAAGCGGUGGAGCAUGUGGUUUAAUUCGAAGAUACGCGAAGAACCUUACCUGGGCUUGAUAUCCUAAGAACCUUGUAGAGAUACGAGGGUGCUAGCUUGCUAGAACUUAGUGACAGGUGCUGCACGGCUGUCGUCAGCUCGUGUCGUGAGAUGUUCGGUUAAGUCCGGCAACGAGCGCAACCCACGUAUUUAGUUGCUAACAGUUUGGCUGAGCACUCUAAAUAUACUGCCUUCGUAAGGAGGAGGAAGGUGUGGACGACGUCAAGUCAUCAUGGCCCUUAUGCCCAGGGCGACACACGUGCUACAAUGGCAUAUACAAUGAGACGCAAUAUCGCGAGAUGGAGCAAAUCUAUAAAAUAUGUCCCAGUUCGGAUUGNCAUGAAGCCGGAAUCGCUAGUAAUCGUAGAUCAGCCAUGCUACGGUGAAUACGUUCCCGGGUCUUGUACUCACCGCCCGUCACACCAUGGGAGUUGAUUUCACUCUAAGCCGGAAUACUAAACUAGUUACCGUCCACAGUGGAAUCAGCGACUGGGGUGAAGUCGUAACAAGGUAACCGUAGGAGAACCUGCGGUUG
This is a ribosomal RNA of 1275 nucleotides. It matches the Rfam family "Bacterial small subunit ribosomal RNA", at positions 202 to 1520 of the family's 1533-position model.